UGGCUUUCAACAAAAAUGAUCAAUUUGCACAUUCGUCAUCCUCAAACACAUAUGGGUUUCAACACAUUUUUGUAUCAUCCAAGAAAACAACCAAACAAUCCAUAUCAAUAUGCUUAUCCUAACAAAUCAAAAUGCCCGCAUGAAAAGUUUCCAUAGACAAACUAAAAAGAAAAACUAAAGAAAACGAGCACACAGACUCAAGACAAAAGACACAAAAACUCCCCCACACUUAGACAACACAAUGUCCUCAUUGUGUGGGGAAAAACUAACGAUAAAAACACAAAACAAAUAAAGCAUAAAAGAAAAGAAAAUAAAAUAAAAUAAAAACGAAAGAAACUAACAGAACUUCCCUGAAACUGGAUCAAUCAUCAGGUGGUUUCAAUUUUCGCUUUGGCAGUUUCACAAUUGAAGGCACAAUC
This 419-nucleotide long non-coding RNA is filed under the name Salvia miltiorrhiza (redroot sage). RNAcentral's name for it is "long non-coding RNA (SMIL_LNC010291)". Lineage: Eukaryota; Viridiplantae; Streptophyta; Magnoliopsida; Lamiales; Lamiaceae. The record is from RNAcentral.